GUACGCAUUUACUGCUGCGCCAUUUAGUUGGUUGAGUCCAGUGUCCAGUUUUGAUUGAGCAGUCACUCGAGAAGGAGUAUUUCGUUUGAUCUAGAUAUUUUGAAAAAGUGGUAAUUGGCAGCUACUGAAAGACCUAUAUCAUUGGAAAUUUCGUGUAUUCCCUAAUUCGGAAAUUUUUUCAUAAGCACUGGCUUUCAAUCAGUCAUCACUGUGCCUAGUUCAUCGCAGUACUUAUUCAACUUCCAACCACGAAGGGCAGGCGUUGUAUGGCAUUGCACAAUUCGUUUACAGGUACUCUGAGAUGCUGUCGCCGCAUUAUGACCCCCUGGACUUCCCCUGUUCAUCAGGGGGAGUCCAGGGACCCGUCCCCUGGGACUGCGCGGCCUCCCACCGCCCCCGGGGUCCCAGGGGACCCAGUCCCCGAGGACUUGUCUCCGGGG
Long non-coding RNA from Athalia rosae (coleseed sawfly), 440 nucleotides. RefSeq lists it as uncharacterized. The record is from RefSeq and is a predicted model, not a curated record. The transcript is spliced from 3 exons. NCBI's taxonomy places the organism in Eukaryota, Metazoa, Arthropoda, Insecta, Hymenoptera, Athaliidae.